Molecule: unclassified non-coding RNA, 259 nt
Filed under: fungal sp.
Lineage: Eukaryota; Fungi
Description: partial internal transcribed spacer region
Rfam family: Eukaryotic small subunit ribosomal RNA (bases 1-46)
Source: RNAcentral
AAGUCGUAACAAGGUUUCCGUAGGUGAACCUGCGGAAGGAUCAUUAUAGUAAUGCAUGUGGCCGGGUGGCGCGCCACUUGUUGGCACGUCGCCUGUGCGCAACACAUACACACACCCCUUGUGAACUGUCUUGUCCAUGUCUGGCCGCAGCAAUGCAGCCAGACAGCAAACAAAAAAACGUACCGAACCCACGCAGACUGAAUCGUAUAACACAAAAGUAAUACACAUACAACUUUUAACAAUGGAUCUCUUGGUUCCU